RNAcentral lists this ribosomal RNA (250 nucleotides) under uncultured bacterium. RNAcentral describes it as "partial 16S ribosomal RNA". It matches the Rfam family "Bacterial small subunit ribosomal RNA", at positions 525 to 775 of the family's 1533-position model. The record is from RNAcentral.
ACGUAGGCGGCAAGCGUUGUCCGGAAUUAUUGGGCGUAAAGGGAGCGCAGGCGGGAAACUAAGCGGAUCUUAAAAGUGCGGGGCUCAACCCCGUGAUGGGGUCCGAACUGGUUUUCUUGAGUGCAGGAGAGGAAAGCGGAAUUUCCAGUGUAGCGGUGAAAUGCGUAGAUAUUGGGAAGAACACCAGUGGCGAAGGCGGCUUUCUGGACUGUAACUGACGCUGAGGCUCGAAAGCUAGGGUAGCGAACGG